AAAUCUUAAAAAACGUUUAAUAAUAAAUAAGACUAUAGAAAUGGAGAGAGUUACCAUUUUGCACAAUUCUUCUUGUAAAUAAGUUACGACAAUUAAUAAAUUUGUUAAAACUUACCGACACUGUCACCGUCGACGAGCACUCGUCCGUCUUUCGCUUUGUUGGGAUUGUAAUGGUAAGAACCCCGUUCUCGAACUGGGCGUCAAUGCGUUGCAUAUCAUAAUUUUCUGUUUUAAUAAAAACUGAUUGCUCAACUCUGGUCGAUUUCUCAUCAGUGACUGGUCGAUCUCCAAGAACCUUAAUACCAUGCUUAUACUUCCGGAUGCUCAGUUGGUCCCUCUGAAAACCAGGAAGAUGUACACGAUAUAGAGCGGCCCCAUUUGCUUCCUUCAAUUCCAAGUUGGGCGCAUAUGUUUUUGUUCGUGUAUUAGAAAUUGCUGUAGAAGAGGAAGCUUUCUUUAACCUUUUGUCGUUGAUCAGAACAUCCAACUGGCUUUCAUCAGACAAGCACCUCAAGUGAAUAUUUAUGUAUAAAUCAUGGCGCUGAUAAAAAAGUUGGCCGAAAUCUAUUUUUCCGUUGCAGAUAUCACAGUGAUUUUUGCUUGCAG
Molecule: unclassified non-coding RNA, 606 nt
Filed under: Hevea brasiliensis (rubber tree)
Lineage: Eukaryota; Viridiplantae; Streptophyta; Magnoliopsida; Malpighiales; Euphorbiaceae
Source: RNAcentral